AUACCUUUUUUGGCCUUUUGGCUAAGAUCAAGUGUAGUAUCCGUUUUUAUCAGUUCAAUAUCUGAUAUGUGGACUACAUUUCCACAAUGAUAUUAAAUUUAUUUUUUAUGGGGAGGGUCCACCACAUAUUUGUCACCUAGGCGUUGCACUAUUGCCUAGUCUGGCGCAUCUCAA
Non-coding RNA from Triticum aestivum (bread wheat), 174 nucleotides. The record is from Rfam. Lineage: Eukaryota; Viridiplantae; Streptophyta; Magnoliopsida; Poales; Poaceae.